UUGGUUUGUUGUUUCUAUUCC
This 21-nucleotide non-coding RNA is filed under the name Arabidopsis thaliana (thale cress). The record is from RNAcentral. Lineage: Eukaryota; Viridiplantae; Streptophyta; Magnoliopsida; Brassicales; Brassicaceae.